This 253-nucleotide ribosomal RNA is filed under the name uncultured bacterium. RNAcentral's name for it is "partial 16S ribosomal RNA". It matches the Rfam family "Bacterial small subunit ribosomal RNA", at positions 524 to 776 of the family's 1533-position model. The record is from RNAcentral.
GACAGAGGCCUCGAGCGUUAGGCGGAAUCACUGGGCUUAAAGCGUGUGUAGGCGGGCCCGUAAGUGUCUUGUGAAAUCCCACGGCUCAACCGUGGAACUGCUGGGCAUACUGCGGGUCUUGGGCCAACUAGGGGCAGCCGGAACAAGCGGUGGAGCGGUGAAAUGCGUAGAUAUCGCUUGGAACGCCGAAGGUGAAAACAGGUAACUGGGAGUGUGCCGACGCUGAGACACGAAAGCCAGGGGAGCGAACGGG